UUACAGUUGCCGGAUUCUUCUGGACGCUGAUCGCCAUCAUGGUCGCCGUGGCCUGAAGGGCGGUCGUUCAGGCGCUGGAGGGUUUUCCUCGUGGAGCAAGAAGAGCACAGGUUACGUGACCAUCAAAGGCAAGGAGAAAGACGUGAAUGCAGGAAUCUGUGAUAAAAGUCGGGUCUAAAAGCCAGGUACAAACACAUCAGUCCUCGAGCACCUGUUUACCUGGUGGAGAGCGAGACAGCUGCUUUAACAUUAGAAUUACUUGUAUGCGCUUGUAUGAUAAGUUACCGCUGUUAAACACUCUAUCUGUUGGGAAGAUAGAAAGUGCAGAGUAUAUUUGUAGUUCUUAGCGAAUAGGAAUGGCGGGAAAGUUUAGAUAAUAUAAAGGUUGAUGGGUCAGAUAUUUAUCGAAUUUCUUGCGAAAAGUAAAAAAAAAAGUGAUAAUAAUAAAUACGAAUUAUUUGGCGGCGGCAACACCCAAUCACUGUGCCAGCGCUGUUUGUUGUUGUGUUGGAAGUCACCUGUUGUGUUGUCACGAAGUUAUGCGUCUUUCCGUUCGUCGGCUCUAUGUAUUCCAAUGUUUCCAUAAAAAUUCAGUCUUUAUACUUGUUAAUCUUUAAGAAAUGUAUGUAAAUAUAUAUAAACACACAAGAACUAAGGAACCUAGCAGAAAGGGAAAAGAAAAUAAGACCUUGCCCUUUCAUGAAAAAACGCGGGUUCUUGGACUGAAGAGCGGUUGUCUGCAACUUCUCUCGCAGGAAGAAAAAAAGAAAAGAAAAAAAAAAAA
Long non-coding RNA from Penaeus monodon (black tiger shrimp), 784 nucleotides. RefSeq lists it as uncharacterized. The transcript is spliced from 2 exons. The record is from RefSeq and is a predicted model, not a curated record. NCBI's taxonomy places the organism in Eukaryota, Metazoa, Arthropoda, Malacostraca, Decapoda, Penaeidae.